AGAAUCAACGCUGGCGGCGUGCCUCAGACAUGCAAGUCGAACGCGAAAGUUCCCUUCGGGGAGCGAGUAGAGUGGCGCACGGGUGAGUAACACGUAGGUAAUCUACCUUUGGGUGGGAAUAACAGCCGGAAACGGCUGCUAAUACCGCAUAAUGCAGCGGCUCGACAUCGAGACAGUUGUUAAAGCGGGGGAUCGCAAGACCUCGCGCCUAAAGAGGAGCCUGCGGCGGAUUAGCUAGUGGUGGGUAAUGGCUCACCAAGGCAUCGAUCCGUA
RNAcentral lists this ribosomal RNA (273 nucleotides) under uncultured soil bacterium. RNAcentral's name for it is "partial 16S ribosomal RNA". It matches the Rfam family "Bacterial small subunit ribosomal RNA", at positions 26 to 285 of the family's 1533-position model. The record is from RNAcentral.